UACGGAGGGUGCGAGCGUUGUUCGGAAUCAUUGGGCGUAAAGGGCGUGUAGGUGGUCUGUUAAGUCAUGUGUGAAAUCCCCCGGCUCAACCGGGGAAGUGCGCAUGAAACUGACAGGCUAGAGUACCGAAGAGGAAGGUGGAAUUCCAGGUGUAGCGGUGAAAUGCGUAGAUAUCUGGAGGAACACCGGUGGCGAAGGCGGCCUUCUGGUCGGAUACUGACGCUAAAACGCGAAAGCGUGGGGAGCAAACAGG
Molecule: ribosomal RNA, 253 nt
Filed under: uncultured bacterium
Lineage: Bacteria
Also listed under: 1 other name
Description: partial 16S ribosomal RNA
Rfam family: Bacterial small subunit ribosomal RNA
Source: RNAcentral